AAAUCAAGUGUGGGAACACUUCCUUCAAACAGACCAAGAUUCUGUCCCUAAUCUUCCAUUUCAGAAAUCUUUUCUAAAUCUUGAAGCAGAGGCAAGAUGAUAUUGGAAGCGGUGUGUAAAAUGAUUUAGAGAAAUAAGUGAUCACCAGCAAAGAGACCCCCUCCAGAGAAUCUUUCUAGCAAGAAGUUGAGAGUCAAUGAAGUCUUGCAUUUAAGAAAGGUCAGUAGAGCUGGGAAGGGGGCAGUGGGGACAUACAUAGAGCAGAUGGAUGACACUAUAGGACAGACUGGGCAGCUAGGACAUGUGUCCUUUGCUCAGGUGGGUUCUGGGACCAUGGAGACUGUGAUGGUGCUUGGAAUGAAAUUAGGUCAUGACACACAAAAAAAGGGAAAAGGAAUAAGAAUCAAGUGCCUUGUUUGAAAAAGACAGCAGAAUUGAAGUCAUUUUAAAAAUAUUCUGUCUCUCAAAGUAUUAAGAAAUUGCUUCUCUUCUUUUUAACAUGCAUCAAAAAAACUGCUUUUGAUAUCUUAGCUGCAAAGAACUGAAGCAAAACAAUAACACAAAGCUAAAUUGAAGCAAGGAGAGACUCUUCUUAUUUUAUCAUCUUGAUCUAUUCCCUAAUGAGAAACCACAGAAAAAGAUUUAAAAGAAAGGUCACCUUUUAUUUAAGAUAAAUAAAUGUAUGCUGAUGGCUGAUGUCCUGAGCUACUUAAUAAAAUGAACUCAAAUCUAGAACCAUCAACACUCAGAAAUAGCUUGUUUCUUAUAAUAACAGAGAACAGGCAACAGAGAGUGGAGAAUACUUAGCUGGGAGUAUCUCCUCUAUCCUAAGUGUUAUUCAUGUAAUUCAAAUGUUUUAAAGAACUUUGACUUGGGUGCAAUUUAAUUGAUUAGGAAAAAAUUUAAGAGCUACUGUUAAACUAAACUAAGUUUAUCUGUAUAGCUUACUAGUGAAGUUCUGAAGACAGUAAUUUCAGGUCUCAGACUCCACAGGAAGUAAACAGUAUAAAUAUAAGAGACAUGUAAGUUAUAAAAUGUGCAGAGAGAUGAUCAUGAGGCAUUUCAAUUCUAAUUUAAAGGCAAAAACCCCCUUUGCAACUAUGUCGAGAAAGGAAAGAAGAAAUAGCUAAGGCUAACUAAGAAUUUUACUAUAUGGCAGACAAUGUAACGUAUUUUAUCUCAUCUAAUCCUCACAACAAUGAUCAGAGAUAUAUAUUCACAGAUGGGGCAACUAAGCCUUAGAGUUUAUAACUUGUCCAUACUAAAAAAUAAUAACUGAUAAAUCAAGAUUUUAAGACAUCCAUCUGAUGUUAAGUGAUGUCAACUCUUCAAAUAGAACCAUCCUACUCUUCUCUCUUCUGUUCAAAACUCUCAAUUUUAGUUGUUCAGAACUCUCCACAAUUUUAGAUGUUACCUUUAUAACUAAUCUUAAUACUCUCAAAACUGUCUUCCAACUAGAUGGAUGUCUUAUGUGCCUUCCUGGAAUGUCCCACCUCUGUUCACUGGACUCCAACUCUGAAGGUUUGGUUUUGUAUAUUCCUCCCUAAAACAUCCUCCCAAGGCACUGCUGCCUUUACUACAUGCUCCCUCCUCGUCAUCCAUGGAUGGCCCUUUUCGCAAGUGACCUCAUUUGUCAAUGACAGUACUUGACCUCUGCUGGGGAACUCACUUUCACUGCUACUUUUUAUUGUCUAAAUCUUGCCAUUGCUGGAGAUGCUAAGCAACAACAAGGUCUUACAUAACUUUUUCCUUCCUACAGAACUCAGUACAGAACCCUGAAAUACUUUCCAUUAUGAGUACAAAUGACAACAAUUACAAUGAUUAAUUUAGGCUUAUAAAAUAUUUUCAUCUCUGUUGUCUCAUCUCUUUUAAUAUAUCACUUUAUUAAAUUACUUAUAAAAUCAUUGGAUAAAUAUUAUUAUAGUUUAAUGUAAGUGUCAUGCCAUAACAUAAUAGAUAUUAUUUCCUUCAUGUACUGUUAAAGACACAAAGAAUCAGAGAGGAUAUAAUAGCAUAAGGUAACACUGUUGUGAAACUGUGCCUGUCUUCACUGCCUCCCUUAGGGCUGACACAUUCAGGAUAUGUUUGAUGAAUGAAUAUAUGAACAAGCUAGAAUUCAGAUCAAGCCUUUUAGCUCCAAAAUUUCUAACACACCAUUUAGAAUGAUUUGACAGUAUAUGCUUAUGUAUAUUUUCCUCAUAAAGUCUUAUUUCAGUGUGGUUUAUAUCACUCUAGCUUUGCAACAUUUCACCAUAAGUUCCAGUGAACACCAAACUCAUUAGCUGAGUCAGACAGGGAAAACAAUAUCUAUCCUCAUUAUAAUAGGACCAAAUUCUCCAUUAAUAAUAAAAAAAAUUAAUGGUGACUUUAAAUAAGCUUGAAAUUUUGCCAGUCUGGGUGAUUCUAAUUACAAAAGAUUUCUUAAUUAUAUUUAAUUUUUUUUCAUAAAGACAUUAUCAUGAUUACUUAGGAUAAAAAAAUCACGGAAAUAUAUCUGCUUUCUUCAAAGUAAAUGAAUGACGUGGUUAGAGCAGGUCAACAACAGUUUCUCUCCAAAGCAAAAAUUGAAUUUCUAAUAGAUUUGGAGGGACAACUGAAUGUGUUUAACUUAUAGAGCAUUAAGGUGCUCUGGGGGAAGCCUGCAUUUCUAAAAGGUAGGUGAGUCAGUACAAGGUAGGAUGAGGUUAGGCAAGAUUUAUUUACAUGGCUUUUGCAAGGCUCAUGAUUAAACUAGGAGGAUAGGGAUAACCACAAUGUACGAUCUUAGAGCAAUGGUAAUAAAACACUUAUUUAGAAGUAGAUCAAUAUGGUGAGUUUAAAUGUCUACUCCAGCACUUAUUAGCUAUGUAGUUUCUAGGAACUUCUGUAAUGUUUCCGUGCCUCACUACUCUGUAAAAUGGAUAAAGGCACAGAUACCGACAGAACUUCAAGGAUUUAAGAAGCUGCACAUGUAAAAUGCCUAGCAGACCUCCAACUGUGAUAGUGCCUGUAAGUAGUCACUGUGACCAAAUCAAGCUUAUUGCUAAGAAUGAAGUGAUAUACAUGAAAUUGCUUUGUAGCAGUUUAAGGAAAUAUACCUGUGUUAUGAUUGGUUAUUACAAUGCAGAAAUUAAAAAAAUAAAAAACAAAAUAAAAUUCCCAAAUUUUCAUUCUUAAAACUCAGAAAAUAAUUCUCUCCCAGGAUUUUACAGGGUGAGGUAUUUCCUCAUGGGUCACAAGCAACUCUAAGCCAGUCUCCUUGAGAGGCAUCAUGGCAGGACUAGAGGGUACUAAAACAUUUAGCAGAAGGAUCAAUACCCCCAGCCCUUCUUAAUAGAAGUAUUCUUGGAGAAGUCUCAUGUAGCCUCUAGGUCUUAGAAUUAUAAUACCAUUAAUUAAUAGUGUUAUUAAUUUAUAUAAUUUAUAAAACUAAUCCUAGACAAAUCUCUAACUACUUUUCCAGUUCUAAUUUUAAAAUAUUAUCAUUUUAUUUUUCUAUUUUAAUAUAAUUAUAAUUCAUAGAAUUUUACGAAUUAGUAUGUUUGCCAAAAUUAACCCAGAGAUGUAAACAAACAGUGGCCAAUGAAAAGACCUAUGUAUAAAGCUACAUGUUGACGUAAUUGAAAACCACUUGGUUAUAAGUGCAUGGAAUAAAAUGUUGUCAUCUGCUACAAUUCAUUUAUGCUACAAAUUGUACCAAAGGAGAUCCAGAUUAGCCUACACCGACAGCAAUGAAAUGAUGAACAUUCCUAGGAGUUAACCAUGCCACCUGCACAGAACACCAGUUACUUUCAGGUAUCAGCAUUGCUACUCUAUGUCUAGGACUGAGGAGUCACAAACCAGGCCAACUGCCAUUUCCCAUUUCCUUCUCAGGCUCUGUACUUUUAUCACAAACUGUGUAUAUGAACAUUCCGGGUCAUGCUUCAAACACAGCUUUAAGCCCCACUGUCCAAAGUUGCUUUAAAAAUUAAAUUUGGUUUGGAAAAGAUUGCCACAAUGUAAAAUCUCUAAAUUGGGUAUGUUACUGAUUUCUGCUCCCUCCACAAAUGUUUUUAACACGAUCAGGUCUAGAGAGAAAGAUAAUGGAUUUAGAUGAGAUUAUGCUACAAAACACAACUCAUUUAACUAAAAAAUACUUUCAGACAGAAACAAAUCUGACUAGCAUCCAUGAGUACGCAGGUUCAAUCCCUGGCCUUGCUCAAUGGGUUAAGGAUCUGGCAUUGCAGUGAGCUGUGGUGUAGGUCACAGAUGCUGUUCAGAUCUGACAUUGCUGGGGCUGUGGUGUAGGCCGGCAGCUACAGCUCCAAUUUGACUCCUAUCCUGGGAAACUCCAUAUGCCAUGGGUGCAGCCCUAGAAAGCAAAAAACAAAAACCUAUACAUCAAUAAUACAAUGUACAAUAAUAAUGCAAAAGGGAUAUGGAUAAUGUACUUCAUGUUUUUAUCAACCUCUGUAAUUUUACAAAACCAUCAAAAAUAUACACAUUUCCCACACAGGAAUUUAUUCUGUGGUCUCCCUUUACUUAUAGAAGUACAGGUCUGAGGGGCUGGUGCUGGUUAAAUUUCUUGAGUCUUAGCAGGACUGAAAAUAUCUUUCUGUUGUCAUUACAUUUAAGGACAACAUGCCAAGUUGUAAAAUCGUGGGUUGCAUUUGAUUUUUCUAAUGGUUUUAUAGAUGUUUCUUUAUUGCCUUCUGGCUUUGACGGCUGCUAAGGAGAAAUUUGAAUCAAGCCUAACUUUUCUUUGAAAAUAAAUGAAUUUGUAUUUGGCAGCAUUAAGCUCCUUAUUUUUGCUUUAAAGUCUGAAAAACUUAUCACCAAAUAUCUCUAUGUUAGUUUCUACUUAGCAAUUUUCCUAUAUAAGGUAAGCCUUCUUACUUUCAAGAUCUUUUAUAGUUCUGAAAGAUUUUCAUCUGCUAAUAAUUAUUGAUUUCAAUAAAUUCAUCUCUUUGUGUGUCAGAUUUUGCAGCAUUUCUAUGUCCUGAGUUCUGAAUUCAUGUACUCUUAUGUGAAUGUGAGCUUCUAAGUCAUCUCUUCUGCAUCCCAAAUGUUUUAUAAAUUUAUCUUCUGUUUCACUAACUUGAUUUUUAGCAAAGUUGAUUCUGAUUUUCUUCCAUAUAUGGAAGAGUUUAUUUAUAUUUUGUCCACAUUUUUUUACAGCUUUAACACUAUCAUUUUUCAUCUAAUGUAGGAUUAAAAGAAAUCUCAUCCUAAAGUUUAAUUCUAUAUAAAAUAUAUUUCAAAGAAGAUUUUAUUCUGAACCUAAGCAUCUUCACUGCCUAGUUUAUUCCAAUAAUUUGUCUUAAAAGAAAACUCAUCUUUAAAUUUGAUGAUAUUUAGUAUCUUAAGUCUCUGCUUUUCAAAAUAUGGUGCAUGUACUAGGCUUUUCAACAUCACCUGGGAGUUUGUAAGAAACGCAAAAUCUUAGACACCCCAUUCCAACCCAUAACUACUGAAAAAAAAUCUUUAUUUCAACAAGAUAUCCAGGUAAUGCAUGCACACAUUAAUAUUUGAGAAAAACCUGGUCUAGGGGAGUCAUGUGCUAGGUGGUUGGGGGGGUUAUCGAGGUCAGCUGUGAUAUCAGAGUAUAUGUCAACAGGGUGAGAGCUUAAGUGUCUGUCCCUAAGGUGAGGAAUGAGGAAAACAUGCUUAUCAAAUGCUAACGUGACCAACGAGUUACGCUAUUGGCAUAAAUUACUUUCAGCCCAUUUGUUCAUUCAGUGACUAUUUAAUAGGCACUGAUAUAGGCCUUGGUGACUGGCAAUAAUCAGGUGAAAUUUGUUCCCUCUUGGGUUUAUCAUCUAGUGAAAAUACAAAGGCACUCUAAAAAUAAUCAUGCAAAGAUGGCAAUAAAUCAUAAGGAACAAGAGAUUGCCAGGUAUUUGUAUAUGUCUAAGCUCAGGAGAAAGAUAAUUGUUAUUUUAUAAAGGGGAUUCAAAGAAGCCAUCAUUUAAAAAGUAAAUUGGAGCAGAGAUUUGAAGGAAGUGAAGGAAGGAGACUUGCAAAUGUUUAAAGGAAAAGCAUUGCAGGAAGAGGACACUCAAAGACAUCACUCCGUAGUAGGGCAGUAAAAUAUUUUAUUUUAAAAAAUUAUUUUAAAAAACCCCUCAGGGCUAGAAUGUUAAUUAUGCCCACCAAUAUCAGAUACCAGUCCUGUUGUUUGUGGCUCCAAAAUACCUUUUGUCUCCCUCUCCAUCCCAUAUUACCAUUGUCCUAAUCCAGACCCUCAGUGAAUCUUGCUGGGACUAAAGUGGUAACUUCAUUUCCCAUGUCUUUGUCUUUAGUCACAUAUUAACCAAGUUCAACCUCAAGCAAAAACGUACUCAUGCAACAUUUCUGCCUAAAAUCCUUCAAAAACAUCCAUGUGGAGAAAAAUCAGUAUUGGACAUCCACCACACGCUCAGUCACAAAAGCCAAUUCU
RNAcentral lists this long non-coding RNA (6397 nucleotides) under Sus scrofa (pig). RNAcentral's name for it is "lncRNA (ENSSSCG00025067514.1)". The record is from RNAcentral. Lineage: Eukaryota; Metazoa; Chordata; Mammalia; Artiodactyla; Suidae.